UUAUAAUUAAAAUUAAUUAAUAAGAAAUUAAAUGAAAUCAUUAAAUUUAAAAAAUUUGGCGGUAUUUUAAAUAAUUAGAGGAAUUUGUUGAGUAAAUGAUGAUCCACGAAUGGAAUAUCCUAAUAAAUUUUUAUGUAUUGUUGUAUAAAAAUUAUUUUAUAAGAAUAAUAAUUAAAAAAUUUAAUUUAAUUUAAAUUCAAAUCAAAAUGUAGAAUUGUUAGGUUUAAAUGAAUUACAGUUUAAUUUAAUAUUGGAGUUAUUUUUUUAAUUAAAAUAAUGAAAUAGGAUUUAAGAGUAAAUUNAAAUAAAUUUUAAAUGAAGAAAUAAAUUAAAAUAUG
This 338-nucleotide ribosomal RNA is filed under the name Pheidole xerophila. RNAcentral describes it as "partial 12S ribosomal RNA". Lineage: Eukaryota; Metazoa; Arthropoda; Insecta; Hymenoptera; Formicidae. The record is from RNAcentral.